Molecule: ribosomal RNA, 403 nt
Filed under: uncultured bacterium
Lineage: Bacteria
Description: bacterial SSU rRNA
Rfam family: Bacterial small subunit ribosomal RNA
Source: RNAcentral
UAUCAACGCUGGCGGCGUGCCUAACACAUGCAAGUCGAGCGCGAAAGGGGAGUAAUCCCCAAGUAGAGCGGCGAACGGGUGAGUAACGCGUGGGUGAUCUACCUCCGAGUGGGAAUAACCCCGGGAACGUGGGGCUAAUACCGCAUGACAUCCCUGAGUCACAUCGGGGAUCAAAGCCGGGGACCGCAAGGCCUGGCGUUUGGAGAUGAGCCCGCGUCCGAUUAGCUAGUUGGCGGGGAACGGCCCACCAAGGCUUCGAUCGGUAGCCGGCCUGAGAGGGCGGACGGCCACACUGGGACUGAGACACGGCCCAGACUCCUACGGGAGGCAGCAGUGGGGGAAUUUUUCGCAAUGGGGGAAACCCUGACGAAGCAACGCCGCGUGGAGGAUGAAGGCCUUCGGU